CCCCCAGGAGGGGGUCGCUCCCGUCGUAGUUCCUGCCGACCUCCAGGAGGGGGUCGCUCUCGUCGUAGUUCCUGCCGACCUCCAGGAGGGGGUCGCUCCCGUCGUAGUUCCUGCCGACCUCCAGGAGGGGGUCGCUCCCGUCCCGGCUCCGGCCGCACCGGCAUCGGUUCCUGGCGGCCCGGUUCCGGCUGCUCCUGCAUCGGUUCCUGCCUCUCGUCGCGGUGGGCCAAGGAGGACGCCGCUGGUCCCUGCCUCGUCCUCGUCUCGGCCGCCGGACUGGUGGUCUUGCCCUCGGCGCCUCCUGCUGCCCGGAUGGCGCUGCCUCCUGCGGCGACGUCCGCCUCGACUCCUCAGCCCAUUGGAUCAGCGUCCGCCUGGAGGACGUUGCCAUUCGGGGUGGCUCCCGGGGACAUCGGUCCAGCCCAAGGGCACUAAGAGUGCCACCCUGGCUCAGCGGCUGCUGAGCAGGGUCUCGCCACGCCGUCACCCUCCGUGACGGAAUCUCUGAACUUCAUGUCUUCCCUGGUCGCGGACUUUGUUGUGGACUCUUGUUUUGGCCCUCCCCCGGUCCUCCCUCCACCCACCCUGCUCAUGUACCUUGAGGGGUAGGGAUUCGGUCCCUCCGCCUGGGACCACCCUCCGCCCGCCCUGGUUUGGGGGGGGGGCUUCCGUAGGCGCCGUGGAAGGCGCCAUAGGGGGGGGGGGGUACUGUCAUGAUCUGUGUUUUUGUUCUUGUCAUGAUCUGUGUUUUUGUUCUAGCUGAUUCCUUGUCUUAUUUUGGUUCCAGGUUCCGUUUCCUGUUUUAUUUUGGUAGUCCCCCGGUCUCUGUUUUGUGUUCUAGCUUCACUCCCGAGUCAUGUCACGUCACAGCUGUUCUUGUUUCACCCGGUCGUUAUCCUCACCUGCGCUGCAUCAGUAAUCACUCACCCGUGUAUUUAGUCACCUCCUGUUCCCGUAGUCACUUGCCAGAUUGUCGUUUCGAGUCCCAUGAGUGUAUCCUUGUUUCCUGUGUUUCCUGAAUGUUCGUGCUUCUCGUGUUUUGUUCCUGUUCGCAUCGUGUAUCCUGCCCGACCCCGGAUUACCUACUUACCGUGAGUUUUUGCCUGUUCCCUGCCUGUACUCUUGCCGAGCCUUUUUGUGUUGACCUGGACCGUCUGACCGUGUCUUAAGGAAUAAAUCUUUUGUUAAUUAUAAUAUCGUCUCCGUGCUGUGCAUGUGGGUCCGCCGCCUGCCCGAGUUCCUGACACGUGGUGUGUGCACUGAUCUCCCCAGCUGGUUUUUGGUGUGCACGAUCAACAUCCAUGCUUUUUAUUUGCUUUCCCCAUUAUUUUUAUUUUCUUUAUUAUUUCAAUAAAUCGCACAAAAGGACAACUCUCUCAUCUGCUCCUUUAUGGGAAAUUUCCACCACAGAAAUUGGCGUCACGAACAGGAUCCCGCGGCAGGUCGUCUGGACGGUGUGAUCAGGGACGAUAGUCCUGAGGACUAGGGUCGCUCAGCCUCCAAACCUCUACAGCUGUUCUGAGUGGGAGGACUGCUCACCCGUCUGGAUCGCCUCUGACGAGAUCCAACGAACACAAAAUCCAACCUCUACUCGGCUCGCUCCACACGUCCCUCUGUGAAAACAUGAUGGAGACAGAUGCAGGACGUGGGUCCUUUCGUGAACAGAUGUCAACGGGGUGGAGACUGGUGAACGACUUCUGACCCCAUGUGACGUAUUCACCUACUUUGCAUACUUAAAAAAAAAACACUUUUUUUUUAUUCUGCCUGUCAUGCACAACAAACAGUGAACCUCCACAUUCUAAUGACACACUACAUGUUUUUAUGUUUAUUUUUCAGAGGACGCUCUGAGCCAACACUCAGCCUUACAGGAAGCCCCUGCUUCCCUGUGACUCACACACAGACAUGAUGUAGGUUCAAUCAGAGGAUGUGAACCAGUGGUCAUCACACCUAAAUCUGACCACAAACCAUGUAAACAACAACACCCUCUUAAAGGAAGCCAUAGAUGGUGUUACUGCAGACACCACUAAGCUACUGAAACAUUGGAUGCUACAGGCCACAAAGAGAGCCUGUCUAAAUUACAGUUUGUUCAGACUAAGGUUAUUUUCUGGGUCAUUGUAAUUACAGCUGAUGGCAAAUCCAUCUCACCCAACAGAGUUGAAGCAAUUUGAAACCUGCCUAAACCAUGCACGUAUAAACAGCUUAUCUUUUCUAGGUCCUUGUUCUUAUUGUAGGAACUUCAUUCCUAACUUUAAUGUCUCUGAGGCCCCACUCAGGGUUCUGAUGCAGACGUCUUCAUCGUCCACUUCUUCUCUCACGUGGACGUCUGAGGCUGAACAACGUUCACUGACCUCAAGCUUGCUCUUCAGUCGGCUCCUACUUUGGGUCUUCCUGAUCUGACCCUACGCGACCUUUCACUCAAACAGUGGAUGAGAGAUCAGGUUGUACGACUUCUGUUCUUUUGUCCUUAUACUUUGAUUCUUUUGAAAUAGAUCACAUCUUUCUACAGCCCGAUGGCUUAGAUGCAACACCACUUUGCUCAACAUGCUGAACGUUACUAUCACGAGGUCGUCUUGAAGUCCGGCACAUUGCUAAGACACUACUCUGCUCAGGCUGCAGAGUUGAUUGCGUUGACUGAAGCUGGUAAACUAGCAGAAGGAGAGACUGUUACCAUCUACACAGACUCCACAGAUGCUUGUGACACUUUGGUUCUCUGUGGAAGCAUAGGAAGCUUUUGAAGUCUGAUUGCAAACCUAUCUUACAUCAUGAUUAGGUUCCGCUUUGCUGGACGCUGUCCUGCCACCUACAGCUAAUGCUGUUUUUACAACAUCAUAGACAACCUUGUUUCUGCCGUCAUGCAGCUGCAGA
Molecule: long non-coding RNA, 2865 nt
Organism: Betta splendens (Siamese fighting fish)
Lineage: Eukaryota; Metazoa; Chordata; Actinopteri; Anabantiformes; Osphronemidae
Exons: 2
Source: RefSeq, a predicted model, not a curated record